AAGCAGGCUUGGAUUAGACAAGGUCUCAGCUUCCUUCCAGCCCCAAACUCUAGCAUGUUGUGACUUUAUCAUUAAAGUCAAAGGCUCAUGGAACAAGCAUGAACAUGGGAAUCAGACAAACUUGGGUUUUUAAAUCCCUCUCUGUUUCUUAUUUGCUGUGUGAAACUGGGAAAACGUUACCCUUCUGAUGGUCCAUUUCUUCACUUUAAAAUUGGAAUUCUAGCAUCCCUUCAGCAUGGUCCAGAGAUCUAAAAAUAUGUGAUGUAGGUAGUGUGGUAUAGAGUAGGUGCUCAAUAUUGAUGGUUAUGAUUAUUGGUAUUAUGAGAAAGAUGACUGUUCUUUCAGUUUGGCAGUGAGAACUGGGUAGAACUGAGCUUGGAACACAUCGUUGAAUCAGGAGGUGAUUGUUGAAAGAUCAAGAGAUCCUGGUGGUUGUGAUAUAAGCCGACUCUACUCUUGUGGUGAUCCAUGGUCAAGGCUGCAGUGGAGCUGACUUAUAACGAUGAAGCAAACAUGGACAGAGGUCAUUUGGUAUGGGAAGAAUUUCAGUCAUGUGGUAGAAGGGAAACCUGGAUGUAAGCAGCAAACUGUGGAUGUGCUAAGUAUAAGCACGAGCCAAUGCAUUGCUGUCUUCCGUGAAGGAAUUUUGUUUUUGAUCCUCCACUACUACCCCACAACAACCCUGAGGAUAUCUCCAACCUUGGAAAUGAAUGUCAUCUUUCCUUCCUCCUCCUCAUUCUUUUUUAAAGGGACAUUUUUGUUUCUUUGA
Molecule: long non-coding RNA, 769 nt
Filed under: Vulpes vulpes (red fox)
Lineage: Eukaryota; Metazoa; Chordata; Mammalia; Carnivora; Canidae
Description: lncRNA (ENSVVUG00000004543.1)
Source: RNAcentral